Long non-coding RNA from Oreochromis aureus, 464 nucleotides. NCBI's taxonomy places the organism in Eukaryota, Metazoa, Chordata, Actinopteri, Cichliformes, Cichlidae. The record is from Ensembl.
ACAGCUGCCGACAUAAUGUGGAUCCGAAGAUCCAUAAUUGGCCUAUCUGGGGUUGAAAGUCUUGAUAAAUGCACGGGCUACACCGGCUUCCGACGAGAUGUUACAGUCAUGAUGAAUGUAGAUGUUGGCCAGUUCAUGGAAACACUGAUGAUACCAGAGACCGAGGCGAAUCUUCACAGACGGCUCUCCAUUUUCAGAGGCUCAAAUGUAAUUGGGCAAACCCACCGAAUGCCAUGUCCUUCCUUGAGAUGCUUACUGCAGCACCUGUGACCUGCUGGUUACAGAGGGAUUGAAUAGGACGGCUGAAUCUACAACACAUGAAAGGAGGAGGCGACUUGAGACACAGCAGUAGGGCUAACAACUGUUUGACUUGGAGCAUGUCACAGGCCCGCGCUGCUCCUCCAAGCAUCCAAGCAGCACCUUUGGUAAACAAUGCAGAGCAGGAAAAACUGAUUUCUCACGGA